This 855-nucleotide long non-coding RNA is filed under the name Coturnix japonica (Japanese quail). RNAcentral describes it as "lncRNA (ENSCJPG00005001044.1)". Lineage: Eukaryota; Metazoa; Chordata; Aves; Galliformes; Phasianidae. The record is from RNAcentral.
UGGGGCGGGGUAUUUAACUGGGUCGGGGGGGUAAUUAGGAUCCCUGGGUGUUAACUUGGUAGAUUAAUGCCCCCCCAGCCCCCCCGGAAGAGGAAGAGGAAGAAGAGGAAGAAGGCCUUGACCACGCCCCCAUGGACCAGGAGCCUUGGCCACGCCCACAGGAGCUACUGGAUAGGUGAGACCCAUAGAGACCCAUUGUGCCCCAUAGAGACCCCAUAGUGCCCCUUUGUGCCCCAUAGAGACCCCAUAGUGCCCCUUUGUGCCCCAUAGAGACCCCAUUGUGCCCCAUAGCACCCCAUAGAGACCCCAUUGUGCCUUAUUGUGCCCUAUAGAGACCCCAUUGUGCCCCAUAGCACCCCGUAGAGACCCCAUAGAACCCCAUUGUGCCCCAUAGCGCCCCAUAGAGACCCCAUAGUGCCCCAUAGCACCCCAUAGAGACCCCAUAGAGACCCCAUAGUGCCCCUUUGUGCCCCAUAGAGACCCCAUUAUGCCCCAUAGCACCCCAUAGAGACCCCAUAGAACCCCAUUGUGCCUUAUUGUGCCCUAUAGAGACCCCAUUGUGCCCCAUAGCACCCUGUAGAGACCCCAUUGAACCCCAUUGUGAUAUAUUGUGCCCCAUAGAGACCCCAUAGAACCCCAUUGUGCCCCAUAGAGACCCCAUAGAGACCCAUUGUGCCCCAUAGAGACCCCAUAGAGACCCCAUAGUGCCUCAUAGAGACCCCAUAGAUACCCCAUUGUGCCCCAUAGUGCCCCAUAGAGACCCCAUUGUGCCCCAUAGUGCCCCAUAGAGACCCCGUAGAAUAUGGGGGGGGGAUGGGUGUUUAAUAUGGGGGGGGCUCUAUUGUUGAGGAGUCA